AGCCAUAAGAUAACAUUUUUGGUUCAACCUGCCCAAUGUCUAACAAUGAUGAAUGGCCGCGGUACCCUGACCGUGCUAAGGUAGCGUAAUCAGUUGGCUUUUAAAUGGAGUCAGGAAUGAAUGGGAUAACCUGGUCUAGCUGUCUCCUAGCUAUUUUAUUUAAUUUACUGAUCAAGUGAAAAAGCUUGAGUUGUGGAAAAGGGACGAGAAGACCCUUAGAAUUUUUCUAAAAGUGGGAUUAAGUUCUUGCAGUUGUUUUGUUGGGGUGACAAAGAAAUAUAUUAAAACUUUCUUAUUCAACAAGCCGAUUAUGUUAAGUGAGGAUAAAUUACCUGAGGGAUAACAGCAUAAUUCUAUAAGUGAGUUUGUGACCUCGAUGUUGGACUAGGAAACUGGCAAGUUAGCCAUUUGUUGUGUUGGUUCUGUUCGAACUAUAAUUCCU
Molecule: ribosomal RNA, 442 nt
Filed under: Dermatobranchus sp. 21 MP-2010
Lineage: Eukaryota; Metazoa; Mollusca; Gastropoda; Nudibranchia; Arminidae
Description: partial 16S ribosomal RNA
Rfam family: Bacterial large subunit ribosomal RNA
Source: RNAcentral